AUGAACGUGUCGGAAGGAUCAUUACCGAGAAAGGGGCCCCGGCCCCUUAUUCUUCACCCACUGCGUAUCUACCCUUGUUGCUUUGGCGGGGAAGCCCGCCAGAGGCCCUCCGAAACUCUGCGUGAACAGUGGCGUCUGAGCUGUUUCUUAAUAUAUAAAAACUUUCAACAACGGAUCUCUUGGUUCCAGCAACGAUGAAGAACGCAGCGAAAUGCGAUACGUAAUGUGAAUUGCAGAAUUCAGUGAAUCAUCGAAUCUUUGAACGCAUAUUGCGCCCCUCGGCAUUCCGGGGGGCAUACCUGUUCGAGCGUCAUUGCACCCCUCAAGCGUUAGCUUGGUAUUGGGCGUUCGCCGGCAGGCGUGCCUGAAAAUCAGUGGCGGCCCGGCGCGGCUUCGAGCGUAUUGAAUGUCCUACCGCUCUGCAAGACCGCCCCGCGGCCGGCCGCCCCAUCCACCACGGAUCUCGUUUAAUUGACCUCGGAUCAGGUAGGGAUACCCGCUGGCUUUAAGCAUAUGGUGCCCGUCCGGCCUAUUGAUGAUUACCCGUAGAGCGCAAGCUGCACUCCAGUUGCCUGAGAACACCCACAUACGAUGUGGUGUGUGACCUUUUGCGAGGGAAUGCCUUCAUUGAUAGCCCACUGUAUCUGAAAGAACGUGUAUGACGACUGUUACCUCUCGACCUGAGGUACUACCCGAUGAACUUAUGAAUAUAAGCAU
This 717-nucleotide ribosomal RNA is filed under the name Bulbothrix lacinia. RNAcentral's name for it is "eukaryotic LSU rRNA". The stretch from base 160 to 313 matches the Rfam family "5.8S ribosomal RNA". Lineage: Eukaryota; Fungi; Ascomycota; Lecanoromycetes; Lecanorales; Parmeliaceae. The record is from RNAcentral.